GUUCGGCUUUUUUUCGUCAUUUGAAGGAGUUUUAAGAGCUGAAAAGUCGAGUUUGCACCAUUUCUUCCGUCGAUGUCCAGUAGACGUGUUAAAGGCAAAGACUGUAAAGGGGAGCGCCCUUGAGACAACUAAGAUGGCUGCAGCUGAUGUGGAACUUCCUGUUGAUUGGCUUUUGUAGCUCCAAAGUGCUGCCCACGCCUCAGAUUUUCUCAGUGACUCAGGUGGGGUUAAUCAAGAGGAGAGUAGGAAAAGACGCACAUCCCAGUGAUGCAUUGUGACAACUAAUUUGCAGCGGUUGUAGCAUAUCAGCCCCACCCACCGAAUCCGCCGCCACUCAGUGUCCUCGGCCCCCGUUCCUCCUCCACCCUCAUACGUCCUAUUUGAGAGAAUUAGGAGGGAAUCAAUCAUUUGUCGGGGUC
Molecule: RNA transcript, 419 nt
Organism: Plectropomus leopardus (leopard coralgrouper)
Lineage: Eukaryota; Metazoa; Chordata; Actinopteri; Perciformes; Serranidae
Source: RefSeq, a predicted model, not a curated record